Molecule: small RNA, 81 nt
Filed under: Serratia symbiotica str. Tucson
Lineage: Bacteria; Pseudomonadati; Pseudomonadota; Gammaproteobacteria; Enterobacterales; Yersiniaceae
Description: isrK Hfq binding RNA
Rfam family: isrK Hfq binding RNA
Source: Rfam by way of RNAcentral
GCACCUGCAAAAUCAGGGGCCGGGACUGCAAACCCGCCAGAGUUCACCGCGACAUAAUGACACGCCGCGAGCGUGUUUUUU